UUUUUUUUUGUAAUCAGAUUUUUGAAGUUUGAUGAAGUUUAUAUAAAAAAAACAUUGAUAUUUUUAACGAAUCUAAUGGCCCAUAUUUGUUAAUCAUAAAUGCUGAUUAUUUUGUAAACUCGAUUACAUCAAAAUGAUUUAAAUCGGAUUGUGUUAUUUUUCAGAUGCAGGAAGUACUGCUCAAGAAGGGAAAAACUGGAAGCACCGCUCAAGACAGCUACAGCCUACAGCUGCAGCUAUUUUUUACAUAGCAACAGCAUACUACAUGCUAAAGUAAACGCGUCACGUACUCACAUGGCGGCUGCCAGGUGCCAGCCGGAUCCCGGAGAGCAACGAUAAAAGCAAAAGAAAAAAAAUCGAUUACUGUAUCUACAGAACACAAGAUGCCAAAGACACCCCCAGCAGCAUCUUGUGCAAGCAUGUGAACUUUCUGCGCUGUCGAGAAGGGGAAGGCCAGUGGUGGCCACAUGACUCAAGAUGCUCUCCAGCAUGAACACAGCUGUCCAACAAUCACAUCAGCUGCCGGAACAAUUCCAGAUUUCAGAUGCUGUUUUAUAGAUGAUGUAGAUUUCCCAAGAACAAGCCGCAGCGUCAGUGAAAAAAAUGGAAGAUGUCGCGGUCUCAGCUCCUGGUUGCAGAGAGCAAGAGCAUACAGUACAGCGCACACUGAAGAUACUACGGAGAAGAAUGAAUGUAGUAGUCCAAAGCGAACACAUCUGCUUCGUGCAAUCGUGUGUAGUAUACUAGUAAUAUGACAAGGGACAACGUGACGUACUAGAAACAAAUGAAAGAAUUCCAUUAAUAAUCCUCUGGAUCAUGAAUCAUGAUAUUCAUAUGUAACAGCCCAUCGCUACCCCCACUAGAAUCUCUCACAUAACCUCUGCUCUCUCAGUAUCUAAGAAAGAAUCACCCACGACCCACCCACACACACACGCACAAAAGUAAAACACGAUAGUAUAAACAGCACCGCCCGACGCCGCGGGGAGGCGUCUAGAACAUGACGGCGGCUGCGACCGCGCCGGCGACGGCGACGAAGCCGAGGGCGGAGGCGCGCGAGGCGGCGCCGCUGCCGGAAGGCGCGACGGUGGGGGCGCCGGCCGGGGUGGUGGAGACGGACGAGGUCGGGGCCUUCGCGGACGGCGCAGAGGCGGCGGGGCCCUCGGUGGGCGGGGCCGGAGGAGAGGCCAGCGGGGACGGCGCCGCGGCGGUCGGCGGCUUGGCGGCCGGCGCCGGGGCGGUGGCCGGGGACCGCACAGGGGGUGGCGGCAGCGGGGCCAUCCUGGGCGCGGCCUUGGGAGCUGUGGUCGGGGUGGCGGCCGGGGCCUGCGCCGCCGCGACGACGGCGAGGAGGGCGACGAUGGCGGCGACCACGGCGAAGCGAGCCAUUAGGAUAGUUGCGGCGGCGGAGGAGGAGGAGGAGAUAGACUCGGCUAGAGAUGCGGCUGGAGAAGCGGGCGGUUACUGGAGAGUGUGAUUUGGGAUUCUCCGGUGAAUGCUUGGACUCGAUCUGCGAGUUGUGAGU
This 1522-nucleotide long non-coding RNA is filed under the name Zea mays. RNAcentral describes it as "long non-coding RNA (ZMAY_LNC000068)". Lineage: Eukaryota; Viridiplantae; Streptophyta; Magnoliopsida; Poales; Poaceae. The record is from RNAcentral.